UACGAAGGGUGCAAACGUUGCUCGGAAUUAUUGGGCGUAAAGCGCACGUAGGCGGCAUUGCAAGUCGGAUGUGAAAUCCCUCGGCUUAACCAAGGAAGUGCAUCCGAAACUGCAGUGCUUGAGUACUUAAGAGGAUCGCGGAAUUCCCGGUGUAGAGGUGAAAUUCGUAGAUAUUCGCAAGAACACCAGUGGCGAAGGCGGCUCACUGGUCCGGUACUGACGCCGAGGUGCGAAAGCGUGGGGAGCAAACAGG
RNAcentral lists this ribosomal RNA (253 nucleotides) under uncultured bacterium. RNAcentral's name for it is "partial 16S ribosomal RNA". It matches the Rfam family "Bacterial small subunit ribosomal RNA", at positions 524 to 776 of the family's 1533-position model. The record is from RNAcentral.